GACGGUAAAGUAAACUUACACGUUUGGCUUUUCUUGAACGAAUUUGAAACAAAAAAUAUAACAGGGAACAGAAUUGAACAAAAAAAUAAAGAGAUAAAUCAGGCCCUUUUCCGUAACUAAAAUGGAACACGUGAACUAUAAUUUUAACCUUAAAAAGAUAAACUUCGUAGAAAUUGUGAUAGUUUGGGCUGAUGAAUAUUUUCUCAAAACUACAUACUUCAAACCAAUAUCUUUCUCAGUGAAUAGCUUUACGUCAUGAUUGUUAUAUACUGCACACGAAAAUCGAAAAAGUAAAAAAAUUGUGGCCGAAAUUAAUAAAGUAGAUAAAGACGCAUGAUGAUCUAAAAAGAAAAAUCAGAAAAAAGUAAAGUUGGAAUAUUAUGGGAUCAAAGUUUAGACACAUGAUCCAAGAAAUAGCACCCAUUCAACAUCUUAAACACCCCCCCUCCACCUCCACCCCCACCCCACCUCCCACUCCCCAAAAAGUAGUACUAGGCCAAGUUGUAAGGUCAAUUAAAUAAUUUUAAUGAUAUUAUAAUGCCCACAAAUAAAUACUACUUCCUCUAUUGCAGUUUAUGUGAACUUAUUUCCUUUUUGGUCCCUUUCAAAAAAAUGAUCUUGUUCUAUAUUUGGGAAUAAUUUAGCUUAAACUUACAAUUCUACCUUUAAUAAGAAGUUUUUAUAACCACACAAAUACUCUAGACCCCUUUUUAACUUGUUUAGGACCACAAAUUUCAACAAUCUUUAUUUUUUCUUAAACUUUGUACCCAAUCAAACAGAUUCACAUAAUUAAAAUAGAGGAAGUAUUCUUUAUUAUUCUUUAUUAAUCUUUGGACCCUCAAACACAUUUUGUGGUCCUCCUCCACUCCCUAAGGAACCAAAAAAGUUUCAUUCAACUCUUACCCCAAUUUCAAAAAUAGCCCAAAUCCAAUUGGAGAUGUGGGCCCAAGCAAUGAAAAUAUGGACCCCACAAAGAUAUAUGGCAGAACUGACAUGUAAUGCAGUAUUGCAAAUUUAUUAAAUUACGAAUGUGAUGAGAUAGCUAAGAUCUUUUCACUUGUAAUUAAACUUAGGACCUGAAUUUUAUUAGUUAACUUCUUAAACUUACUUGAAUUUACAUUAAUCGUGUCACUAAGUUUCGAAUACUAGAUGAUUAGAAGAAAAAUAUAGAGAAAUAAUACAGUAAGGGAAGGUAUAGGAUUAAAACCUGGGUCGUCAAGCUUUUGACUGAGUCUUUAGUAUUGGGGGUCCCCCAUGGGCCUUCUUCUCCUCCAUCAUCAUCUAUUUUUUGCUUGCAUGUUAUACACGUCAACAUCUCCCUUUAAUCUGUGUUUUACUCUCUUUGGUUCCCGCAAAACAAAAACAAAAAAAUCAUUACUUAUCAAUAUUUAUAUAAAAAAAUAAUGAAAAAAAAAAUUUGCAUUAAAUAUUUGCACAAAUCAUAUCUAUUUACCAUAAUUUAGUGAUUUGAUAAGGUGAAAUUAUAUACUCCUUCCAAUUUACGUAAACAUAUUUCCUUUUUGGUCCAUUCCAAAAAAAUGGUCCAUUUCUAAAUUUAGUAACAAUUUAAUUUAGACUUACAAUUCUACUCUUAAUAGAAGCUUUUAUAACCAUACAAAUACUCCGAACCCCUAUUUGGCUUGUUUAGGACCACAUAUUUCAGACGUCUUCAUUUUUUCUUAAACUUCAUGCCCAAUCAAACAUGUUCAUAUAAAUUGGAACGAAGAGAGUACUACUUAACUAUGGUUUACGAAGAGAAGUCUACUGGAAAAAUUGCAUAUUUGGCCGUUCGACCAAAUAUAUUUACAUCUCCUAGCCUAUAUAUAUAUAUAUAUAUGUGUGUGUGUGUAUAUGUGUGUGUAUAUGUAUAUAUGUAUAUAUAUAUAUAUAUAUAUAUAUAUAUAUAUAUAUAUUAUUCCAGCUAUUAUUAUUGAAUUGGUGUAAAUAUUCGAGGUAGAUAAAUUUUGCCAAAGUAGGUUGUAGUGGUGUUACAUAAAUUUGCUGAUGAUAAAACGUCCCUUAAUAGCAAUUAUGAUUUUAAAUAUUACUAUGAACAUUUUAAAGGGGAAUAGAUGUUGAGUUCCACUGACAUAAAAAAGGAAAUGUGAAAUGAAUAUGACACCUCUUAUCGAUUGGAAACAGUCUCUUUACCCUUUCGGGUAGGGGUAAGGCCCGUCUACUUAUUACCCUUCCCAGAUCUCACUUUGUGGGACUAUACUGCGUAGUUGUUAUUGUUAUUUUUAUAAAGGCUUUUAAUGUCUUGCUAUACAUGUUCCAGGAAAACUAAAGAGCCAAUAGUUUAUUCAAGAAAAGAAGUCACCAUCAAAAAAUCAAUUAGGAGAAAUAUUAAUACUAUUGUAAUCAAACAUGUUUCAUUUUCCAAGAGAUUGUCCUUUUGUCUCAAAUAAGCAUAUUUAUUUAUCAUAAAGAUAAGCUAAACAUCGAAUAUUAUUAUGUAUGUUAUGUAUAAAAUAUAUAUAAAUAUUAUAUGCUUUUAUAAUUAUCGAAUGUAAAUAGUUUCGAGUGUGCGCUAAACUUAAUUUUCUCCACUAUAUUUUUGCAUAAUCCGGUCAAUAUAUCAGCAAACCCCGUUGUGAAAUCCCAACAAACUAUGUGAAACAAAAUUUUUUUUUAAAAAGGCAAAUAAAAAUAAUAACAGGUAAAUGUUACGGAAAUGAGUUUAACUUCUGCGUACUGAUGUUAUAAUUACAGAUAAAUGCAUUGAUAAGCAUUGAUUAGUAAAUUAAUAAAAAUAAUAACUAAUCUCUUAUCAAAAUUUAAAACGCACCGAUAAUAUAAAAGAAUCUAUACAUUAUCAGGGUACAACAUCUCAUUUGAUUUGAAAAAUGACUUUGUACUCGUGUAAUUUCUCACCCAAAAAAGCAAAAGCUCUGAGAAAGGAUAUUCUCCGUAUCACAUUUACACUUAAUGAAAUGAUGUAAAUAUUGAGUAGUAUAAUAUGAUGUAAAUAUUGAAUAGUAUAAUAUAAUAUAAGUUUUAAUAAUUGAUUUUACGAUUUAAACCCGUAAACUAUAUAGGUCACUAGGGACACAAGACAUAGGUCCAGAAUCCAAGGAAGUGAAAUCAAAAGGAUAAAGAAAGAGUUGUUUUUAUUGGAAGAAGAGAUUGAAAAACAUGAUCACUUGUUAGAAUUCCAAUCCCAAAGUUGUUUCCACUCUUGCUUUAUAGCAUCAGACACCCAAUAGAAAAAGCAAAAAUAUAGAAAAAAAUCUUUUUUUUUUAUAUUUUUAGAUUUCUUAAACUCUAGAACCGAAGUUUCUAACGCAUAUUAAUCAUCAAUUCCCUUCAUACUUCUUUUGUGAUCAUUAUUUUUCUUUCCCAAUUCCUCUCUCAAUACGCCCAUACACACAUAAACGAAUACAGAAUUUAAAAUCAAUCUAAGAAAAAAUCUCAUACUAUUAUAUGUAUAUAUGUAAUUUUGUUAUAAUUGUAUAUAUAAUUCGAUUUAAAAUAAAAGCCUAAUCAACUCAUAUAGAACAACACCAACAAUGACAACUAUAUAUUUUAUUUAUUACCGUAAUGUGAGAUCCGAAAGGAUAAUAUAUACAUAGCUCAGUUAAGUCAUAGAAUCCGCUCUAAAUCUGUCUCUAUCACAGAAUGACAGAAACACAUACGUACAGUAUAUACGUACAUUACGACUAAUACACCAAACUACAAUUAUAGUAUAUCACUGUCAAAAGAAAAGAAAAAAAAUUGAGAGAGAAAAGAUAUUAAUAAAUUAGUAGAAUAGCAGUAGCUACAGUAAUAGCAGUACGAGUAGUAGCAAAAUAGGAGUUGAAAAUUGAAACUGGAAAGAGGAGGCUUUAAAAAAUUGUUGACUAAUUGCUUUGGAAAAUUGAAUGAGCAAUUUCAUUGAAUGUACAAAAAACAGAUAAAACUUUAAGUUUUUUCUAUUAAAAAAAAAAAAGAAAAAAGAGGCUGUACUCUUCUCCUAAAAUGAGAAAAUUAAUCAAACAUCACACAAUUUAAUCAGAAAAAUUCAUACCUGAAAUAGUCACCGAAACUAUAAUUCAGCUCAAAAUCCACUCGAGAAUUGUUGAAAUUUACAUCCAAAGAGCUUUUAUAUCUCUGCUCUGUUCUUCUCUACUUUUUUUUUUUUGAGUCCGAAACCCUAAGUAAGAUAUCAAAUCAAAUCAAAUGAACAGUGAAAAAUCCCUUGCAUUAAGCUUUCCUACAGGUACGAAGAAUCUUCUGCAAAAAAUGGAAUAUUCGCCGGCGCCGGCAAACUUCCCGCCGGCGAAAUUUAGGAGAUUCUACGGCGUGAAACCGGAAAGUUUCAGAUUCUCAUAUAUAGACAGAAUCUUCAAAUACGUAAAAUAUCUGUAUAUAAUACACACAUUAGUGUGUGUGUGUGAAGGAAACAAAUAUAGAAUGGAGACAAAGGAGAGAAG
Molecule: long non-coding RNA, 4412 nt
Filed under: Nicotiana benthamiana
Lineage: Eukaryota; Viridiplantae; Streptophyta; Magnoliopsida; Solanales; Solanaceae
Description: long non-coding RNA (NBEN_LNC021892)
Source: RNAcentral